GACGAACGCUGGCGGCGUGCUUAACACAUGCAAGUCGAACGGAAAGGCCCUGCUUUUGUGGGGUGCUCGAGUGGCGAAAGGGUGAGUAACACGUGAGUAACCUGCCCUUGACUUUGGGAUAACUUCAGGAAACUGGGGCUAAUACCGGAUAGGAGCUCCUGCUGCAUGGUGGGGGUUGGAAAGUUUCGGCGGGUGGGGAUGGACUCGCGGCUUAUCAGCUUGUUGGUGGGGUAGUGGCUUACCAAGGCUUUGACGGGUAGCCGGCCUGAGAGGGUGACCGGCCACAUUGGGACUGAGAUACGGCCCAGACUCCUACGGGAGGCAGCAGUGGGGAAUAUUGCACAAUGGGCGGAAGCCUGAUGCAGCAACGCCGCGUGCGGGAUGACGGCCUUCGGGUUGUAAACCGCUUUCGCCUGUGACGAAGCGUGAGUGACGGUACUGGGUAAAGAAGCACCGGCUAACUACGUG
RNAcentral lists this ribosomal RNA (468 nucleotides) under uncultured bacterium. RNAcentral's name for it is "partial 16S ribosomal RNA". It matches the Rfam family "Bacterial small subunit ribosomal RNA", at positions 28 to 507 of the family's 1533-position model. The record is from RNAcentral.